UACGUAGGGUCCGAGCGUUGUCCGGAAUUAUUGGGCGUAAAGGGCUCGUAGGCGGUUCGUCACGUCGGGAGUGAAAACUCGGGGCUUAACCCCGAGCCUGCUUCCGAUACGGGCAGACUAGAGGUAGGCAGGGGAGAGUGGAAUUCCUGGUGUAGCGGUGAAAUGCGCAGAUAUCAGGAAGAACACCCGUGGCGAAGGCGGCUCUCUGGGACGGUACUGACGCUGAGACGCGAAAGCGUGGGGAGCAAACAGG
RNAcentral lists this ribosomal RNA (253 nucleotides) under uncultured bacterium. Its description in RNAcentral is "partial 16S ribosomal RNA". It matches the Rfam family "Bacterial small subunit ribosomal RNA", at positions 524 to 776 of the family's 1533-position model. The record is from RNAcentral.